Molecule: ribosomal RNA, 467 nt
Filed under: uncultured bacterium
Lineage: Bacteria
Description: partial 16S ribosomal RNA
Rfam family: Bacterial small subunit ribosomal RNA
Source: RNAcentral
GACGAACGCUGGCGGCGUGCUUAACACAUGCAAGUCGAACGGAAAGGCCCUGCUUUUGUGGGGUGCUCGAGUGGCGAACGGGUGAGUAACACGUGAGUAACCUGCCCUUGACUUUGGGAUAACUUCAGGAAACUGGGGCUAAUACCGGAUAGGAGCUCCUGCUGCAUGGUGGGGGUUGGAAAGUUUCGGCGGUUGGGGAUGGACUCGCGGCUUAUCAGCUUGUUGGUGGGGUAGUGGCUUACCAAGGCUUUGACGGGUAGCCGGCCUGAGAGGGUGACCGGCCACAUUGGGACUGGGAUACGGCCCAGACUCCUACGGGGGGCAGAGGUGGGGAAUAUUGCACAAGGGGCGGAAGCCUGAUGCAGAAACGCCGCGUGCGGGAUGACGGCCUUCGGGUUGUAACCCGCUUUCGCCUGUGACGAGGCGUGGGUGACGGUAAUGGGUAAGAAGCACCGGCUAACUACGUG